Molecule: transfer RNA, 75 nt
Filed under: Sphingobacteriaceae bacterium
Lineage: Bacteria; Pseudomonadati; Bacteroidota; Sphingobacteriia; Sphingobacteriales; Sphingobacteriaceae
Description: tRNA-Lys
Rfam family: tRNA
About the family: Transfer RNA (tRNA) molecules are approximately 80 nucleotides in length. Their secondary structure includes four short double-helical elements and three loops (D, anti-codon, and T loops).
Source: RNAcentral
CGGCUGUAACUCAGAUGGCAGAGUACCGUCCUUUUAAGACGGGAGUUCCGGGUUCGAAUCCCGGAAGGCCGACAA